This is a long non-coding RNA of Meriones unguiculatus (Mongolian gerbil), 2559 nucleotides long. RefSeq lists it as uncharacterized. The record is from RefSeq and is a predicted model, not a curated record. The transcript has 3 exons. NCBI's taxonomy places the organism in Eukaryota, Metazoa, Chordata, Mammalia, Rodentia, Muridae.
CCUGUGUGAGCCACCCGGCUGUCCCUCCUCCAAGGGGAGCCUGGAGGCAGAGCAGACAAUGAGCAGACUGUGUGCAUCUCAUGUCCCUCCUGGCCGUCAGUAAAGCUAUCCAUUACGCAGGCUCUAAUGGGACCCGAAGACCCCCAGGACUGUUCCAGAAACAGGUGGAACCAGGAGAAGGAGGUGGAGCCAGGCGAAUGAAGAGCCAGGGGAAGGAGGAGGAGCCUGGAGGAAGAGGAUUUGCUAGGAGAAGGAGAGGUGAUCCAAGAAAGGGUGGAGCCAGAGAAGCACAGCCCCAGGUCCUGAGGGGAAAGGAACUGAGGUGCAGAAAGGGUGCCUCACCCAACAAAAAUGACUGGAAAGUACUGGAACCAGGCCCAGCUACCAGGCAGGGGUCCUGCCUUGCCAUCCCGCUCAGCUGUAGCAAGAUCCGCUACAGAACCUCUCUUGUUUGCACUCUAAACUCAGAGCCCACUUUCUGCUGAAGUCCAAGCUUGGCUGUGGAAAUAUGAAGUAAACUCUGAAGUUUCUCUCCAGGCCUUCUUCUCGCACGGUCACCAUGGUGAUGGGAAAAUAUUAUGCACUGGAGGAAUUAUGGGAAUAUGAAUCAGCAGAAGCAGGGAGAGAGACCUCUGGAAAGUGGGGACUCCCAGGGGACGUGCUGCCUUUUCAAAGUAAACCCCUGAGAUGAUGGAUUGCCCUUCGCUUCCUGGAGGAGCCGGCACCAGGCUCACCGCAUUAGUGGCUGCCCUGCUCGCUCCAUGCAAAUGCUUCUUACAAGAAAAGCCAUGGCCAUUUAUUAGCGCGAUUGCUGCUUGGCAACACAGAGUUAUGGAAAUCUGCUGGCUCCAUUAAAUUUUAAACAUCACUCCUUGCCAAGGGAAACAAAUUAUUGAUGUUGAGUUGGGUGGACAUUUAAUGUUGUCUAGUAGAAUCCCAGUGGUGAAGAGUUGAAGCCUGGUUUGGGGGGCAGGGGAAGUUCCAGAGCAGGAGUUGUUGGGAUGGAAUGGCCAGCAGAAGCCGUGGCUGAUAAACCCUUCCCCAAAGCUUCUAGCUAAGUGUGAUUUUUAAGUUAUCAGUUGAGUUCCUCAGAGUAAUUAAAACUAAAAGUCUAAUAUGAACCAGAAAUUCCACUUCCAGAUACAUACCCAAAAGAACUAGAAUCAGGCGUGCAAACAGAUUUCCCACGUGUGUUCACAGUAACUCCACAGUAGCCAAAGGUGGGAACUGCCCAAGUACCUAGCCAUUGAGGAAGAGUGGGCACAGCCAUCUGGCCUGUGCACGAGGGAAAUCUAGGGAGCCUUGGCAGAUCCUGGCAGCAUUUGCUGCAACACAAAUGAACCCUAAGAUGGCACACUUUGAGUAAAAGGUGACAUAUUCACACGGUUAAAGUCAAGGACAGAAAGUAGGAUACUAAUUACCAGAGACUGGGUGUUGAAGGGAUGGGUGGUUGUUGUUUAAAGGGGUCAGAGUUCACACUUCUGCAAAAUGAACUCAGUUCUGGAAAGCCGUGGUAAGAAUGAUUAUAUACCAGUGAGAAAUUUCUUACUCACACUAAGCUUAUUUCCGCUGUGUACUCAAAAAUGGUUAAGCUAGCCAGUGUCGUUAUGCAUUUUACCUCACUAAGAAACUACUAAUCAAGGCUGAGGAUGUAGCUCAGUUUGGAGAAUAUGUGCUUCCAUACAAAAGGCCCUGGGUUUGAUCCCUAACACCACGUAAACUGGGAGUAGUGGUGCCUGCCUGUUUGAGGUCAGCCUGGGCUACAUCAGAUGCUGUUUCAAAAACAGGUGGGGAGGGUGAAAAGGGAACUGCCAAUAGAGAAACAUAACACAGUCGUUCAGACAUCGCUAUGCACGUCUAUACACGGGCUUGGACCCACUUCCAGCUAGGUCACAGAUCUUUCAAGCAACAUUUGGUCAAAAGGCUUGGUGGUGUUGGGGAAGCAUUUCAUCAAGAAGUCAUCAACGCUGCUUUAAAAAUGUACCAGUCAGUGUAAAAGUAACUUGCAUUUGCCUGAUUCAAUUGUAACCUUUGCCUAGCCCUGAGAGCGUCUAGCCUCGGUACAAUCUAACCUAGGCCUGGAAUGUUUUCAGCCUCUGAGACUUACUGCUGAAUAAGCUCACCCUUUCUUGUUUUUACUGAGCUCUGGGCUGGCUGGUUCAACUCAGCUGUUCUGGCUCAAAGUCCUCUUCCCAUAGACUUAUUCAAUCUGGAUUUUCUCUUGGCCUCUGAGUUGCUCUGCUUGGCCUCAAACUAACUCCAGCAAUCUGCUCUAACCUUCUGGCUUCUUCUUAUUCUGUGGCUCAUUCCGUCUUCACCUGCAUUCUUUUUCUGCAACCUGACUUUCUAUUACUGUCCCAGUAAAACUGUUCCCUUCUUCUGUAUUGUCUCUUAAGCAGCUUCCCUUUCUUCUCUUCUCGUUAGAGUUGGGCAUAUCCUUCCUAUUUUGCCAAGUCUGUCUCUGAUUCCUCGCUGUUUUUGUCACUCAAAUAGAUAACACUUUCAAACAUGGGUUCUUCUUUCUACAAAGUAACUUUAAUUUUAUUGUUUGGUAUUAAA